This is a non-coding RNA of Hordeum vulgare subsp. vulgare (domesticated barley), 72 nucleotides long. The record is from Rfam. Lineage: Eukaryota; Viridiplantae; Streptophyta; Magnoliopsida; Poales; Poaceae.
GGAGCGGUAGCGCAGUGGAGUUGUUUCUGUGUGUAGUUCAGAAGGGCAUGGGUUCGAAUCCCCUCUGCCCCC